This 253-nucleotide ribosomal RNA is filed under the name uncultured Dehalobacterium sp. Its description in RNAcentral is "partial 16S ribosomal RNA". It matches the Rfam family "Bacterial small subunit ribosomal RNA", at positions 524 to 776 of the family's 1533-position model. Lineage: Bacteria; Bacillati; Bacillota; Clostridia; Eubacteriales; Peptococcaceae. The record is from RNAcentral.
UACGUAGGUGGCAAGCGUUGUCCGGAUUUACUGGGUGUAAAGGGCGUGUAGCCGGGUUGACAAGUCAGAUGUGAAAUCCUGCGGCUUAACCGCAGAACUGCACUUGAAACUGGGUGUCUUGAGGGCAGGAGAGGAAAGUGGAAUUCCUAGUGUAGCGGUGAAAUGCGUAGAUAUUAGGAGGAACACCAGUGGCGAAGGCGACUUUCUGGACUGUACCUGACGCUGAGGCGCGAAAGCGUGGGUAGCGAACGGG